AUGGAACGCCGCGCUGGGCGCUGGAAAGGUCGACCCUGGAAGGGAAGCGCGGGCCCCUGGCGGAGCGGAGCGGGCCUCCUCGGCGGCAGAGCGCAUGUUGCUUCCUCCUCGGCAGACUGGUCUUCCCUUUGUUACAAUUCCCUCCAUGAGCUACAUGUCAUCACAGAAAGUCCUCAAUUAAGUUUGUAAAGUGGAAUACUAUUGAGAGGAGAAAAAACCCCAACAACACCUAUUUUUCAGAUCC
RNAcentral lists this long non-coding RNA (244 nucleotides) under Anolis carolinensis (green anole). RNAcentral describes it as "lncRNA (ENSACAG00000041366.1)". The record is from RNAcentral. Lineage: Eukaryota; Metazoa; Chordata; Lepidosauria; Squamata; Anolidae.